CGGUGCUUCCCCCCGGGCCCCGCCGCGCCGCUCCCGCCUCCCGCCUCCCGCCGCGAUGUCCCGCCGCGGGCAGGAGCCCGACAGCGGAGCCGAGUCCCUCUCUUCAGAUGAAAAAGAGGUGGUGGCCAGCAGUGCGGAGGGAGAGGGCUCGGCCGAGGAGCACGCAGUGGGUGAGCAGACACGUGGCUGAUGGCUUUCCCCACACGUGGGAUGGCGUGGCCGGCCUCGCACCCCCCGUUUCCCCACACCAUGAUAAAAACCACAGUGUAGACACUGCUGCAGCUCCUUAAGUCACUUGCUUUGCAAUGCUGGUUUCUUUUUAACUUGCAUUCGACAGAAUAAUUUAUUAAAGCCGCCUUUGGUGCAUCCCCGUGAGUCACAUCACUGGUGGGACACACCGGCUCCCACUGAUGCUUCACCCAUCUCAUGUGCGUGUCACAGAAAAUCAUAAUUUAACUGGGUGGUCUGGGGCAUGCCACGGAUGAAGCUCUGGAAUAAUCCCAGGUUGGAUGAAACAUUAAAAUUAAGCAUCUUGAACAUCACACGUACACUUCAGAAGGG
RNAcentral lists this long non-coding RNA (561 nucleotides) under Calidris pygmaea (Spoon-billed sandpiper). Its description in RNAcentral is "lncRNA (ENSCPGG00000002807.1)". Lineage: Eukaryota; Metazoa; Chordata; Aves; Charadriiformes; Scolopacidae. The record is from RNAcentral.